Molecule: ribosomal RNA, 407 nt
Filed under: uncultured bacterium
Lineage: Bacteria
Description: partial 16S ribosomal RNA
Rfam family: Bacterial small subunit ribosomal RNA
Source: RNAcentral
GACGAACGCUGGCGGCGUGCUUAACACAUGCAAGUAGGACGCAGUUGCGAACGGGUGAGUAACGCGUAGGUAACUACCUAUUAGAGGGGGAUAACUAUUGGAAACGAUAGCUAAUACCGCAUACUAGUUGAUGGACCUGCGUUGUAUUAGCUAGUAGGGAGGGUAAUGGCAUACCUAGGCAAAGAUACAUAGCCGACCGUAGAGGGUGAACGGACACACUGUGACUGAGAAACGGCCCAGACUCCUACGGGAGGCAGCAGGAGGGAAUCUUCGGCAAUGGGGGGAACCCUGACCGAGCAACGCCGCGUGAGUGAAGAAGGUUUUCGGAUCGUAAAGCUCUGUUGUUAAGGAAGCGGUACUUAACCAGAAAGGGACGGCUAACUACGUGCCAGCAGCCGCGGUAAUUC